UUAGUGGCGAACGGGUGAGUAACACGUAUCUAACCUACCAUUUAGUGGGGAAUAACUGUUGGAAACGACAGCUAAUACCGCAUAUGUUAUUUAUUUGCAAUGAUAAAUAAUGAAAGGAGCAUUUGCUUCGCUAAUUGAUGGGGAUGCGGCGCAUUAACUAGUUGGUAAGGUAAUGGCUUACCAAGGUAACAAUGCGUAGCCGAUCUGAGAGGAUGAACGGCCACAUUGGGACUGAGACACGGCCCAA
This 247-nucleotide ribosomal RNA is filed under the name uncultured bacterium. RNAcentral describes it as "partial 16S ribosomal RNA". It matches the Rfam family "Bacterial small subunit ribosomal RNA", at positions 92 to 334 of the family's 1533-position model. The record is from RNAcentral.